Gadus macrocephalus (Pacific cod) is the source of this 322-nucleotide long non-coding RNA. RefSeq lists it as uncharacterized. The transcript is spliced from 2 exons. The record is from RefSeq and is a predicted model, not a curated record. NCBI's taxonomy places the organism in Eukaryota, Metazoa, Chordata, Actinopteri, Gadiformes, Gadidae.
GCUUGGACAGAAGCAUACUGCCGACAUCUUUCUUUAUUCUGGGUGGAAAUAGUAACAUAGUUACGCCAUUAAAUGCGUUUAUGGAAACAUUUUUAGCGAGAAAUGUGCAUUUUACUUUCAUAAUGUUCGCUCGGUGAAUGUGAAGGAUGUUUGGUUUGAUAGUUAUGACGAAGAGGGAACGCUCCGUUCACUUGCAUGGACAUGGACUCAUCUAGCUGCGUUGGCGCGUUGACGCGUUGAACCACCACACAAUGAUCAAGCGUCAGAACCCUCGCGCCAGUUUCAAACACAACAACAACAAUUUCGUCUUCGAUUCAAUCCG